CAAAGUGUAGUAUCUGUUCUUAUCAGCUUAAUAUCUGAUACGUCUUCUAUAUGAAGACAUCGAUAUUAAACUGAUUUUUAGAACGGGAUGAGGUGCCACGGGGCUUGCUCCGCCCUCAUCACGGGUU
This 127-nucleotide small nuclear RNA is filed under the name Austrocochlea porcata. RNAcentral describes it as "partial U2 snRNA". It matches the Rfam family "U2 spliceosomal RNA", at positions 27 to 152 of the family's 192-position model. Rfam says of the family: U2 is a small nuclear RNA (snRNA) component of the spliceosome (involved in pre-mRNA splicing). Lineage: Eukaryota; Metazoa; Mollusca; Gastropoda; Trochida; Trochidae. The record is from RNAcentral.